UAAUAAAGAGCUCCUAUCAAUGAUUAGCAGUGUCACUGCUACAAACCCCUAGAGAGCAUCAUCCAUGUGCAGAUGGGAAAGCCAAGGCCAAAGCCCCAAAGCUAGUGUAUGGUGGAGCCGCCCAGGAAUUCCAGUCCAAAGCCACACACUCACCAGCCACUGGCCCUGCAGCUUUUGCAUUACUUUGAUUCUUUAAUCGUCUCUGGGGUGACCUCUUUGGGGUAUAAUGGAAGUUGCCUGCAAAGUCUGAGGUGGCCUUCAGACUGGCAAUCCUUCUGACCUCUCCUCGCAGUUGGAAUGCAAUGGGAAGUACCUGCGAAUGGAAGUAUCUGCUGUCCAAAAGCCUUGCAAGCCUAGCGCCAGGGCUGCACCCUGAAAGAGCCGCACCCUCAAGGGACUGGCAGGCCCACCCCUGCUCUGGUCUCCCUGGACAGAGAGGAGGACACAUGUGGAUGCUAACCUUUGCAUUCAUUAGCCAGCAGCUGCAGCCAGAGAUCAAUGAUAAGUAGAAAUUGUGCACGUCCGACUGCUGUGCCUUCGCUCGCUACGAAGCACGUGACUUCCUAUUAACGGUAUCUCUCGUCUUACCAAACCGAUAUUUCCUGUAAAGGGCUGAGACUAAUUGUGGUUUUAACAAGGGUCAUGUUAUGCAUUUCUAUGAGAGCGAACAGCCAUAGGUCAGACAGUCAGACGGUCAGUCUGGAAAAGAGAUCCAUACUCCACAUCUUUAAGGCUGAUGUGAAGCCCAGAUAAGUGUGUUGGUGAUGUGGAAGUUACCCUGGGAAGAUAGAAUGGGAGAAAAUGAACUCUGGAGAGAAGCAACUGCCUUAGAGAUGCAGCAUCAAGGUUUUCUUUGGCGUGUAUUCGGGGAAAGCAAUCUUUGAAGAUGAGAUUCUACAGUCUGACAGCGGCAGCUCCUACCUUCCCUGGCCCCAGGAGAGCCAGGCAGGAUUUUGGUGGCUGUCACUCUGUCUGGGGCAGUCACAGAGAGGAGGAGAGGAGGAUGUGGCUGCCGAUGGCAAUUUUCUCAGUUUGCUGCUUUGCCACUCCUUGCUGUCGAGGAAGGCAGAGGCUGCCUGGGAGAGCCCGGUCCCCGGAUUGGCUUGUUACUCCACAGAGUGGAAAUGCUGUGAUUGAACUCAGAGCUCCCGAGCUCAACCUGUGCCUUGACAAACAACAUGAAGACGAGAGCAAGGCACCACUCAAUCAUCUUUCUUCCAGUGCAUCUAGGAAUUUCAUCUGGGAAAUUAAUGUCUGAUCCUACUAGGGAAAUUUGAAACAACCACUAUAAAAUGCUAAAAUCCCCCCCUCCCUGAAUGAUUUAAUGGACAGUGCAUAUGCAUGAAGUUUAGAACAGAUCUGCCCAAUAGGACUUUUUGAAGGAUGGAAAUGUUCCAUAUCUGGACUGUCCAAUAUGGUAACCAGUAGCCCCAUAUGGGCACUGAGAAAAUGAAUUAUAGCUGUUACAACUGGGGAACUAGAUUUUAAACUAUGUGAGUUUUUUCUUUUUAUUUAAUAUGAAUUAGAACAAUUCUAUUGAACUAAAAUUUACAUACCACACAAUUUACAAAUGUAAAAUGUAGGAUUCAAUAGGUUUUAGGACAUUGACAGAGUUGUACAACUAUACUACAAUCAAAUUUAAGUUAUUUUUGAUAUCCCAAAGCAAACCACUGUAUCCACUAGCUAUGAUCUCUCAAUUUCUCCCCUCUACAUCUAGGCAACUGAGAAUAGCACUGAGCUGUUCUUUACCAUCACAGAUUUUCCUAUUCUGGAAAUCUCUUUUUUGUUGUUGUUGUUCAAAAUAGACUAUGCUUAUAACAACGAUAAAGAUCUAAACUAUGCAAAAUUUAAUCAUUUUAAAUUUAAAAUUAAAUUUGGCCAUAAUCUCUACAAAUUACAUGCAUUAGAGCCUGGUAAACAUGAUAAGAUACUGAAUAAAUCCCACUAGUGAGGAAAAUGUGGUAACAUUUUCAGAAAAGUUAUAACUAUUCAUUCAAUUAUUUUCUCUAGCCCCCAAGACUAGUAACAUCUUUGUAAGUUGCAUUUGAUCUUACUUCUGUUGGUCUGAAUCCUAUAUCCCAGCAAAGAGAUGAAAGGAAAGAAAAUGCUAACUCAUAAAGUGAUGCAUUUAGGCUGAGGUUUGGAGCAAGACAACGAGCAGAACAACCUGAAUUGUUUCGAGGCAGUCCAUGAGCUAGGCAACAAGAAGUUACCAGGUGUGAGAAUGGGAACACCUGGCAAAACAGUGCCGAUCCUCAUUGUGAGCAGAGCCAGUGCUCUGGCAUUCCUUCCUUCCUUCCUUCAUCUAUUCAUCCAACAGUGACGAAGUCUCUACUCCAGAUACAUCAUAUCCUGGGAUAAUGAAAAGAUUCGUGGAAACUCAAAAGAUCAAGAAGCUCCUCUUAGGAAACGAAGGUGGGACCCAGCAUUUUUGGGAAUUGCAACCCAUUGAAUAGAAGAAUUCAGGAGCUCUAGAAUUUUUUCCUAGCAAGGAGCAAGUUGAAGAUGGACUUACAGCCCUUUACUGAGUGCCCAGUGCUGGCUGCUAGAUUUCCCAAUUUCUGAUGACCUGAAUGGAGGGAGGAAAUGUGGUUAAGGAGUUUAAUCCCAACCCAGCCACUGACUGUGUGAUUUGGACAGUUGGUUCUCACUGCCUGGCACCCUCAUCUAUAAACAGGGAGAAUCAAAUUUGUGAAUGCAGAUCGGGAGCUGUCAUCAAUGUCAAAGGAAGGGACAAGGAUAUCAAAGUAUAUGUAAUCCCAGCUUCUCUUCUUCCUAGGAGGAUUUUGUAUUUCAGAUUUUUUUGCUCAGAGUAAGAUUGCAGAAAAAAGGAAAUGAGACUACUACAGAAGAACAUUAUGGAGCCGAAGUUGUAGAAGAGAUGAAGAGGAAGGCUAGUAUUUGAAGGGACCAGAGCAGCAGAGAGGCUGAAAGCAUGAUGGGAGCUUUGGGGAGGACAGUAGAGAGCCUUUUAGGCAGUUUGCUUUGUGCUGUGUGAAAUGAUUUUCCCCUGGUUUCCUCUGCAAAUGACUUCAGGAAAACACUGGCUCAAGGAUCUUGAGGUCAGAUGUACUAUAUGAUGUCUUUGCAUUGGGUAUUAGCCUCAAAGCUCUGGCAAUAAGGCCUACCUAAAUUCAACAACCUUCUUAUUUGCUAACAAAAUCAAUCUAAGCCUUGUAGAUCUGUCUGGGGGUUACAGUUGUCCAAGAUCAGCCCUUUCUCAUUGUCCAUCUCCUCAAUUUAUUUUUCAAUUUUUAACAAUAAAUAUGGACCACUUAUAAAAGAUUAUUUGAAACAUUUCCAGGCCAGGGUCAACCAGUUGCUCAUCAGUGACAGGAGAUGGAGCAAAGUUCUGAGGCAAGACGCACUUUACACACUGGGUCACACAGAAGAAAUGGCUGGGGAAGAUCUAUGUCAAACCUGGAUGUGUGGCCUUGCUGUAGAUUGCUGGCAAUGAAUGUUGCCAUGGUCUGCAAAGGCCUGCAGGGAGAGGAGUUUACAGGAUCAGCUCAGAAAGAUUGCU
RNAcentral lists this long non-coding RNA (3523 nucleotides) under Heterocephalus glaber (naked mole-rat). RNAcentral's name for it is "lncRNA (ENSHGLG00100038483.1)". Lineage: Eukaryota; Metazoa; Chordata; Mammalia; Rodentia; Bathyergidae. The record is from RNAcentral.